RNAcentral lists this ribosomal RNA (429 nucleotides) under uncultured Arenimonas sp. Its description in RNAcentral is "bacterial SSU rRNA". It matches the Rfam family "Bacterial small subunit ribosomal RNA", at positions 355 to 776 of the family's 1533-position model. Lineage: Bacteria; Pseudomonadati; Pseudomonadota; Gammaproteobacteria; Lysobacterales; Lysobacteraceae. The record is from RNAcentral.
UGGGGAAUAUUGGACAAUGGGCGCAAGCCUGAUCCAGCCAUGCCGCGUGUGUGAAGAAGGCCUUCGGGUUGUAAAGCACUUUUGUUGGGAAAGAAAUCCUGUCGGUUAAUACCCGGCGGGGCUGACGGUACCCAAAGAAUAAGCACCGGCUAACUUCGUGCCAGCAGCCGCGGUAAUACGAAGGGUGCAAGCGUUACUCGGAAUUACUGGGCGUAAAGCGUGCGUAGGUGGUUUGUUAAGUCAGAUGUGAAAGCCCCGGGCUCAACCUGGGAAUUGCAUUUGAUACUGGCAGACUAGAGUGCGGUAGAGGAGAGUGGAAUUCCCGGUGUAGCAGUGAAAUGCGUAGAGAUCGGGAGGAACAUCAGUUGCGAAGGCGGCUCUCUGGACCAGCACUGACACUGAGGCACGAAAGCGUGGGGAGCAAACAGG